UAAAAUAAAGCGAUAUAAAUUGCAUUCAGUUUCGGCCUGAAUUUAGAAAUAUUUCUAUUUUUUAA
RNAcentral lists this transfer RNA (65 nucleotides) under Dermacentor rhinocerinus. RNAcentral's name for it is "tRNA-Arg". The record is from RNAcentral. Lineage: Eukaryota; Metazoa; Arthropoda; Arachnida; Ixodida; Ixodidae.